RNAcentral lists this unclassified non-coding RNA (181 nucleotides) under uncultured Xylaria. Its description in RNAcentral is "sequence contains ITS2". Lineage: Eukaryota; Fungi; Ascomycota; Sordariomycetes; Xylariales; Xylariaceae. The record is from RNAcentral.
CAACCCUUAAGCCUAGCUUAGUGUUGGGAGUCUACGAGUGGGCCAGGCUACCCUGUAGCGUGGUUACCCUGUAGUUCCUGAAAAUCAACGGCGGAUUUACAGUAUCCUCUGAGCGUAGUAAUUUUUUAUCUCGCUUUUGUUAGGUGCUGUGACUUCGGCCGCUAAACCCCCAAUUUUUUGU